This 484-nucleotide ribosomal RNA is filed under the name uncultured bacterium. RNAcentral's name for it is "partial 16S ribosomal RNA". It matches the Rfam family "Bacterial small subunit ribosomal RNA", at positions 30 to 507 of the family's 1533-position model. The record is from RNAcentral.
AUUGAACGCUGGCGGCAGGCCUAACACAUGCAAGUCGAGCGGAUGAAGGGAGCUUGCUCCUGGAUUCAGCGGCGGACGGGUGAGUAAUGCCUAGGAAUCUGCCUGGUAGUGGGGGAUAACGUCCGGAAACGGGCGCUAAUACCGCAUACGUCCUGAGAGAGAAAGUGGGGGAUCUUCGGACCUCACGCUAUCAGAUGAGCCUAGGUCGGAUUAGCUAGUUGGUGGGGUAAAGGCCUACCAAGGCGACGAUCCGUAACUGGUCUGAGAGGAUGAUCAUUCACACUGGAACUGAGACACGGUCCAGACUCCUACGGGAGGCAGCAGUGGGGAAUAUUGGACAAUGGGCGAAAGCCUGAUCCAGCCAUGCCGCGUGUGUGAAGAAGGUCUUCGGAUUGUAAAGCACUUUAAGUUGGGAGGAAGGGCAGUAAGUUAAUACCUUGCUGUUUUGACGUUACCAACAGAAUAAGCACCGGCUAACUUCGUG